GACGAACGCUGGCGGCGUGCUUAACACAUGCAAGUCGAACGGAAAGGCCUUGCUUUUGUGGGGUGCUCGAGUGGCGAACGGGUGAGUAACACGUGAGUAACCUGCCCUUGACUUUGGGAUAACUUCAGGAAACUGGGGCUAAUACCGGAUAGGAGCUCCUGCUGCAUGGUGGGGGUUGGAAAGUUUCGGCGGGUGGGGAUGGACUCGCGGCUUAUCAGCUUGUUGGUGGGGUAGUGGCUUACCAAGGCUUUGACGGGUAGCCGGCCUGAGAGGGUGACCGGCCACAUUGGGACUGAGAUACGGCCCAGACUCCUACGGGAGGCAGCAGUGGGGAAUAUUGCACAAUGGGCGGAAGCCUGAUGCAGCAACGCCGCGUGCGGGAUGACGGCCUUCGGGUUGUAAACCGCUUUCGCCUGCGACGAAGCGUGAGUGACGGUAAUGGGUAAAGAAGCACCGGCUAACUACGUG
Molecule: ribosomal RNA, 468 nt
Filed under: uncultured bacterium
Lineage: Bacteria
Description: partial 16S ribosomal RNA
Rfam family: Bacterial small subunit ribosomal RNA
Source: RNAcentral